Molecule: non-coding RNA, 107 nt
Organism: Salmonella enterica subsp. enterica serovar Enteritidis
Lineage: Bacteria; Pseudomonadati; Pseudomonadota; Gammaproteobacteria; Enterobacterales; Enterobacteriaceae
Source: Rfam
UUGUAGUUAACGCUACGUUAAAAAAUUAAGUUAAAUCGCCGAUGCAGGGAGUUCUCACCUCCCUGCAUCGACUGUCCAUAGAAUCCUUUAGGGAGGUUCCUAUGUGU